Molecule: non-coding RNA, 797 nt
Organism: Cricetulus griseus (Chinese hamster)
Lineage: Eukaryota; Metazoa; Chordata; Mammalia; Rodentia; Cricetidae
Source: RefSeq, a predicted model, not a curated record
UGUGGUCUUUUGUUCUAUAAGGAAGCAGGCUGAGCAGGCCAUGAUGAACAAGCCAGUAAGAAGUUCCCCUCCAUGGCCUCUGAGUCAGCUCCUACCUCCAGAUUCCUGCCGUGAUUGAGUUCCUCCCCUCAGUGCUCUUGAUAAUGAACCAGUGUUAAUGGAACUGUUACAAUUCAUCCUUGAGGGAACUCAGGGUAGGAAACUGGAGGCAGGACCAUGGGAGAACACUACUCAUUCUCUGGCUCAAUUUCUGGCUUUAUAAACCCCAUGACUACCUGUACCAAAGUGACCGUGGCCAUCCAAUAUCCCAGACAGACAUGCCGACAGAUUGAGGUGAUUCCUCCAUAGAACCUUCCCUCUCAGUGCCAUUCCUCCACCUUCAUAUACUCUUUCCCAUUCCUGCAGAGGGAACGCAAGAACUGUCUGUGUGUCAACAGCAGCUGACCUCCAGGCACGAGUACAGAUGGGCUGUACUUUUAAUUUUCUUGCUGCCACCUGGGAAGAAUUUGUCAUUUUGUUCCUAAAGGAAAAGGAAAAAGAACCGCAUAUGACAUAAUCUAAUACAAAUCUGCACAGAACAACUCCCAGGACUCUGGGAGAGCAAUUCCGGCAAUUUGUGUGAUUAUCUGUCUGUGUGGGAUUGUCACAAGAAGACUGUGGUUUCCAUGCAAGUGAUUUCUCUUCCUAUAUUCAUAAGGCUUCUAAAGGUGGAGAACGAGAAUUGGGCUAGAGGCUUUGCUGGGUAAAUAAAACAAAGCCACUAAGCUUUAAGGGAGCUGUGGUGAAAUGAUGGAGAA